RNAcentral lists this unclassified non-coding RNA (240 nucleotides) under soil metagenome. RNAcentral's name for it is "partial contains 5.8S ribosomal RNA, internal transcribed spacer 2, and large subunit ribosomal RNA". The record is from RNAcentral.
AAGACUAUAGACCUGCGGAGUACCUGCGGAGGGAUCAUCAUUGAAUACAAAAUUUCAAGCUUUGAAGGGGGAGGGGGCUUGCCUCUUUCGCUCUUCAGGCUUGCAAACAACUUUGAUACCCAAAAAGAGUUCUUUCCUGCUUGUCUUUGGUCUUUUUGCAGCUCCAGCUUGUUUAUUUGGGUUGGUUGCUGUGGGAGGCGAAGAGAAGUGGAAAGAGAGGGGGAAACCCCAGAAUAACAC